GUAAAAUGUAAAACCAUCAUAUGGUAUUUUCACAACUUGGAGAAAGAUGUAUUACAGCAAACAAUCUCACUGGUAUUAAAGUGCUAAAAACUUGAACUCUUCCAGUUGUGAGGUAAUAAAAUAUAGCUAAGCUUUCCUAGCAAAGAGGGGGGAAAAACUGAAAACCAGCUAUUCAAGAUUGCAUAUGGAGCGAUGCUAAGGAGAGACAGAAUUUCAUCCAGAGCUGCUGAAAUCCAGGCGUGUGUUACACCACCAUCUCCCCUCCAGCCUGCAAUCCAUCAACCAUCUCCACCUUACUCUUCACACUUAGGAUUAUGAUCAAGUCUAUGUACUAAAGGGGGAAAGACCAAACAAACAUUACACUGAAAGUGUCCCUGCUUUGAACCAGCAGGAGAUUCCAGUUACUUCACUGGAACUGGUUAAGCGGCUGAAAUGAAAUGGGUGCUAGGAGAGAUCACCACGUCAGGACAGAGACUUGAUUUUCAGGGUUGGAGGAGAUCAGACGAAGACGAAUGAGAUUCUGAGUCUUAGUACAAGGUCAAGGCCCCCGGAAUUACAAAGAGCUGGUGGGUCAGUGAGGGGGCCUGUGGGUUGGGAAGCGGCAAAAACUAGCGCCAAAAAAGAAAACCCUGAACUAAUUUGUUAGUAGGUAAAUGCACUCAGAGCGGUGACGAGCAGCCCCAACGCUCGCUGAGAUCCUCAGAGUUUUACAAACCGACCCUCCUGAAAUUUCAAGGGCUUGGAUCCCUCGUAAGUCAUUAUCUACUAUAUGGUACCCUAGUUUCCCGAACAGGCUACCUGCCCCUGACCCUUUUCCCACGACCUUGGCUCCUCCUCGGCCUACAGCGCCCCCCGGGGCUCCUCUCAGCCUCCCACACAGACAGACAGAACGACCGGACAGUGCGGCGGGGGCCAACCCAAUUCCCCCACUCCAUCAGGACGCCCACUCCAUCCAGGCGGCCAGGAACCCCCGGAACCCGAAAACAGCAGAGCGCCGCACUCGCCCGCCGCCUGUGCGGCCGCCAGGUCACGGUGAUUGUCCGGUGUGACCCAGCUCAAAGCCAACGAAUUUGAAGAGGAAGCGGAAGGCCUCAAGAGAUAAGAUGAGAGGAGAAAGGGAACAGCUCUCAUCCUCACCUCAGAUCAGACCCCUGCCCCCCUGCCUCUGGACGCACUCAGGUGCUGAUAGAAUGUCUGGAACUGCAGCAGGAUCUUGAGACCAGGAGAAGCAGCCCAGAAGAAUGAAAGCCAUACACAAAUACUGAACUUACCCCAUAAGGAUGACUCCACGUGCACGUAAGGGGUAAAUCCUUGUGGUCUGAGGACCAAGAAAAUUAGCAUCACUUGGAUCUUGUUAGAAAUACGAAAUCUCAGGCCCCACUCCAGACUGGCUGAACACCCAGUUUAGCAAGCUCCCCAGAUGAUUCAGUUGUGUUUUACAGUUUGAGAAGCUCUAGCUCAAACUCCUGUUGGUUGGAUUUUUCUGAUACUUCAGUUGAAUAUUUUGGAACUUGUGAGCGGAAAAAAGUAGUGAGUGAUCAAAGGAUUGAAGAUUCUGAAGAGAAUUAAGUGAAUAUGGAAGGAUGAGACCAAGAAUGCAAAUGAAGUUGCCAGAUGGCCUGGGUCUCCAUGAGGAGAGAGCAGAAAUCACCCAUUCAGAGUAAAUAUAAGAAAGAGGAAAUGGUGGGGAGUUUCUUAGCAACUCAGGUGGGGAAUAUCAGAAAUCCUGCAUGACAGCUCAUCAGGGGAGUUGGACAGCUUGAAUAAGAGGUCCAUGGAUCUAACUUUUCCUGCACUCUAAAAGCCCCAGAACUGAGAUAGCAGACAGCUUCAAAUUAACCCAGUGGGAACUUAGGGGGACCAAGGUCACAAUUAAGGUCAUCACUGAAAGGCUGACCAUGGAGCACGUGGUGGAUUAAAAACUAUGGUGGACAAACACAAGUAAACCACUUGAGUUCAGUGGGGAGAGUUUCAAGCAUGCAGUCCUGGGAAGGAAGGCCCAAGAGAAUGUUCAGCAGUGGCAGUAGAGGAAUAUCAGGAAAAAAAAAAAAAAAAAAAAAAUAUA
RNAcentral lists this long non-coding RNA (2065 nucleotides) under Sus scrofa (pig). RNAcentral describes it as "lncRNA (ENSSSCG00040063833.1)". Lineage: Eukaryota; Metazoa; Chordata; Mammalia; Artiodactyla; Suidae. The record is from RNAcentral.